Molecule: RNA transcript, 4200 nt
Organism: Macadamia integrifolia
Lineage: Eukaryota; Viridiplantae; Streptophyta; Magnoliopsida; Proteales; Proteaceae
Exons: 4
Source: RefSeq, a predicted model, not a curated record
UUAAACCAUGUGGUAUUCUUCAUCUUCUUCUUCCAUGGACAACAUGGACGACAUGACCGUGUAUUACCCACCAUCGCCGUCGGUCUCCACAAGUCUCACUGCCCAAAUUAACCUCCAACGCCGGCGCCACCUCUUGGGGCGGCUGCAGGACCCCACCGCCGCUUCCUUAUCAGGUUGACCUGCCUCAGCAAUACCAGCCGCAGCUCCGUUCGCUCAGUAUGGUACGCGCCGCCCUCAACUUCAAGAAGACGUUCGAACCCUUUACAUCUCAGGGCUUUCCAAAGACGUCAAACCUCGCGAUAUUUACAAUCUCUUUUGGGCAUUCCUUGACUACCAGUCUUCCCAGCUCAGGAGCUCUACCCAAAAUUCACAGGCUUUUCCUUUUGCUGUUUUUCCUGGUCAAACAGUCCACAAUUGCACCAAUGCUUUCAUUGAAUGGACUGGUGUUUGACCUUGUGGAGUCAACUUUUUAUAUAAAUCUUGCAAAAUCAAAUUCGAGAUCUACGUUCUCAAGAAGAGGUCUAUUGCAAGUUGAAUUAGCCUUUAUACUUUUCUUGUAGGGACUGGUGUUUGACCUUGAGAAGGAGUCAACUUUGUAUAUAGAUCUUGCAAAAUUGAAUUCGAGAUCUAAGUUCUCAAGAACAGGUCUAUUGCAAGUUGAAUUUCUUCCACUUAAAAUUUUCCUAUUUUCGCUUUCAUUUAAAAGAAGAAUCUUUACCAAUUAUGUUUGUUGAAGCUGUUCUAAAACUAAGAAACAGAUAAUGGAAGAGCUGGUUCUUCUGAAAAGAAAGUUAGGGAGUGAUGUGCUAUUAUGCUGCAAUUCCUGGAGGAAUUCCCGACUCUGGUUCUAUUAGAAGGAAUGGUUGUUGAUCUCUUUGGUUGCUUGCUGGAGUUCAUAGGUUGGCGAUUCAGUCAUGUCUCUUGAAGUUGCCAUCCUUUCUGAAGUCAGGUGAGAGGAAACAUCCCAAUAUCACCCUAAUCUGGUUCUUCCCCUUUGAAGUCGUGAGGUUGAAGACGAUAGUCCUCUUCCUUUUCCUCCAAUUUGUUGCUCUUUUUAUUUACCACUUUCCUUCUUUACCCCUCCUUUUGCUUUUAAAUCAGCACUUUUAUUUUAUUUUAUUUCCUUAUUUCUUCUUCCCAUAUUAAUGCCCCCCCUUUACCCUUUUAUUUACAUCUUGCCAUUGAGUGUUUUGCGAGGAUUACCCUUUGCACUACACAUACACCACACUCCUUUGCCUCUUUCUCUUAAAUUGAAGUUUUCAUAUUAUUGCCCCCUCCUUUCUCCUCUUAAUUACUUAUUUGCGAUUAUAUUUGGUCACUUCCUAGUUUACCCUUUGACCUUGGAUUGUGAUUUUAAUUGAAGUUCCCUUUUAUUGCUAAAUUGCCAUCCCACUUUGGAACUUUGAUUAUUACAAAAGUGUCAUUCCCCUUUGCAAUUUCAAUUUAUUUACCAUCCUGCCAUUCUCUCAAAGACUUCAACCUAUUUAGGGUACUGCCACUCCCUUGUAAGAUUGAGGGAUUUACAAAUUUGCCAUUUAAUCUUGGACAUUUUGAUUAGUUAUGGUUCUGCCAUUACCCCCUUGUUAUUGCCUAUUAUGAACUUGGAUGGGUCUAUACCAAACCCAAUUGAGUAUUUUGACCCAGGUUCCGCAUUAAUUGGGGAUUGCAUGAAGUAAUCACAGAAUUGCCAUUGGGCAUAUGCAUGUGCCAUAUUAUUGCUUUGGUGGGCCCGAAAUCACAUCUUUGGGCUUGACAGUGUUUUUGGCACUGGUAUUGGCAUGUCUCGGUGCUUGGAGAUUGUUUGUUCCGUUUUGUAGCCGUGAGGGGGAGUUGGAAAUUAUUUAAUGCUCUUGGUUAAGAGAUUCCUUGGGAUUCUAAUUAUUGGAAUUAUUUGUUCACGUGUAAUUCUACACGUGAGGGGGAGAUUGGAGAUUUUUAUCUAUUGGAAUUAUUUGUUCACGUGUAAUACUACAUGUAAGGGGGAGAUUGGAGAUUUUAUCUACUCUGCACAAUUCAUCAAUUGGAGAUUAUUAUCAGUGAAGACUAUUUCUCUAAUCGUGUCUUCAAUAACAAUUUUAGCUUUUGAAGGGCAACACUAAUGAAGCGAUAUCUUAAGAUGAGGUGAUCUCUUAAGGAUCUAAGUUGCUGUCCUCCAUCUUUACCUUUGUUAGAGCAUGAUUGGUGCUUUUGAAGAUUGGCUGUCCACCACUCCACCUUGUGUGAUUGAAUUGAUUCAUUUCUUUGAAGAUCGAGUUCUUCCCUUAUAUUGAAUAUCGUGUCUUCCCCUAUUGAAAAUCAACUUUCGCAAUUAUAGGAUAGCAUUUGUCAUUGUAACUUGUCUGCUGCUACGGUAUUUUGGAUUGCGGUUGAUGAUAUCUACUCUUUUUGCGAUUUUUUUAUUCUUCCUUUUGGAGAAUGAGUCUUCCUCAUACAUUAAAGAUCAAGUCUCAUCUUUACCGUCCACUUUGUUCGUUGCUGGUGCUUCGACACGACCUUUUUUAUCUACUGAUGCUACUGAUGUUGGUGUGCUUGAGUUGAUGUCACUAUUGAUUUUAUGGUGGUUGAUUGAAGUUCCUACUGUUUAUUGGAGCCAACAACUAAUAUUUAAGAUUGGUGAUGCAUUUGAUUUUCUAUUCUUGUUGGCUAGAGUCUUUCUUUUGAUACAUGUAUACUCCAGCUUGAGGGGGAGUGUUGGAAUAUGUAUCCACGAUAGGGGGGGGGGAGUGUCCCCAUUGUGACAUGGUUAUCUUAGUUACUUUCCAAGAUAGAUUGGGUUGCUUACUUUCCGAGUUAGACUAGAUCUCUAGUUUCCUAAAUUAGAGUUAGGCUAGGAUUGUCUUUUCCAUUCCAACUAUGACUGUACUUGGAUUUACUUAUUAUAAAUAUAUAUUAUGGAGGAAGACUGCUAGACGCCUAGACACAUCGGCUGCCCCUCUCCCUUGCCGUCUCUCUUCUUCUUCCUCAUGUCUCUUCUCUCAAGUUACUGGUUAUAGAUCUUUGGUUUUCUACACUUGGCAUCCUUUAUCUCUUUGGAUGCAUCUAUUGAUUUAUUGAACACAAUCCUACCAUCACAGUAGACCAUGAAGUUGAUGAUGGACUGUCUAAUGGGUCCAGUCCAACCAUCACUUAAACAAUCACACCUUAGUCUGCCCAUGUCCCCUUGAGGGUCUUAACAUACUCCUCAAGCUCCAGUCUCUACUAUGGCAAAUAGACAUUUAUGAGCUUGUAUACAGUGAAGCCCUUCACUCCUUUUCCAGCCCUCUGUACAAUGGAGCAUAUUCUGAUAGUAGACUCCCUCAGAUGAAUGUAUUGGAUUGCUGUGGUAAAAGACCACUUUGACACAGUGUCCCCACUUGACCUUUCUAAUUGGGUUGCAAGCGAUUUAGCUUCUGUCUAUUGCUUUGGGUCUUGAAAACUAUAGGAUCCUACACAAGGAUGCCUAUGACAUCCUCAUCUAUCGGGUUGGGGCUCUCCUCACACUUUGUGAUCCCCAGUAGGGCAACUCUGUUUGCUUCUAUUUCUUCCUCCCCCAUGUCUACCCCUGUGUAGAAGAAUCAAUACCACUAGCCUCUAUCGUAGUUUCUCUAGAAGAACCAACUCCACUCCCUAUCUCUCUUAACCUACCUUGCUCCUACAUAUGUGCCACUCAGUUCACUGCCUUAGCAAGUUGUAUUUCUCUCGCCUCUACUUCUGUCUCUACAUCACCAGGCAUGUAAUCCUUAUCAGCAUUAGAAUCAAAGUCAUUCCCUAUUGUUGGCGGUCUCUCCAGCACUUUCCUUUUGCUUAUCCAUCCUCCUCUUUAUUUGUCCCUUCAUGAGGGCAACAUUGCCUUCUACACCUUGCUAGGGACCCUGGGGCAUUUGGCCACAUCUUUGUGUCCCCUAGCCAGAUGUUACUUCAGUGUAGUGGCUCCACCUCCCUUCCCAUAGUAAUUAUGUUAUGCUUUUUUUAUGUCAUUUCCAAUAGGUACGCUAUGCCUCUAUGAUACGUCUUCUCCCUCGUCUCCCUGAUUAUGUAAUCUUUUUACAUCGUUGAAACAAAAAAUGCUACAUUAUUAAAUUUUUAUAUCAAUUAAACCUCAUAAGACCUAUAUAUCAUAAUUUUUUACCCAACUCAUAAAUUUUUUUUUAAUAAAAAUAUUAAUGCUCAAAUUAACUCGUAUGGAACGACACAUUAAUCACCACUUUUCAGUUGAAAAGU